UCAUUGCUGGAACAAACGCCCUCACGGGUGCUACCCAGAAACCCUUUGUGAACUUAUUCUCAACACGUUGCCUCGGCAGUGACCGGCUUCUUUCCGAGGUCCCUUCUUUGCUGCAAAGAAGGAGCAGGUCGGCCGGUGGCCCCUAUAAACGCUUGUUUUUACACUGUAUCUUCUGAGUAUACAACUAUAAAUGAAUCAAAACUUUUAACAACGGAUCUCUUGGUUCUGGCAUCGAUGAAGAACGCAGCGAAAUGCGAUAAGUAAUGUGAAUUGCAGAAUUCAGUGAAUCAUCGAAUCUUUGAACGCACAUUGCGCCCGCUGGUAUUCCAGCGGGCAUGCCUGUUCGAGCGUCAUUUCAACCCUCAAAACCUCGGUUUUGGUGUUGGAGGAAUACCUGGUAAAAAGGGUACCCUCUGAAAUUUAGUGGCGGGCUCGCUAGAAUUUUGAGCGUAGUAAUUUAUACCUCGUUUUGAAAGUCCAGCGGUUCUCUUGCCGUAAAACCCCC
Molecule: ribosomal RNA, 505 nt
Filed under: Sirococcus tsugae
Lineage: Eukaryota; Fungi; Ascomycota; Sordariomycetes; Diaporthales
Description: eukaryotic LSU rRNA
Rfam family: 5.8S ribosomal RNA (bases 200-353)
Source: RNAcentral